Molecule: long non-coding RNA, 775 nt
Organism: Corapipo altera (White-ruffed manakin)
Lineage: Eukaryota; Metazoa; Chordata; Aves; Passeriformes; Pipridae
Exons: 4
Source: RefSeq, a predicted model, not a curated record
CUUGAUUCCAGCAUUUGAAGCCAUAUCAGUCAUCCUUCGCCCACUUGAAAUUCAACUGGAAUUACACCAGGUUGUCCAGGGUUCCAGAGUGGAACCUGAAGUGAGGUUUGAACUUCCCAUGGAUUACUAGAAUCUGUGCAUCCAUGAAAAGACCAUGUGUCCAUGAAAAAUGGUUGAUAUGACAGGGCACUAUUAACAAUUAAGGCUGGUUUCAGUGUUUGUGUUUGCAGCAGGACUAAGAAAAGACACCAAGGACAGGGAGAUAAUGGAUGGUGCUCGAUGGGAUGGUUUAGUUGAGUUAGAUCCAGUGCUGGUCCGUGGCUUUCCCUGCUGGAAUCAGGCAGGUCAUCGUGGAGUGGCCCAAGCUAUGUCCAUAGGUAGUGGGAUACACAUCCCCUUCCAGGGGCAACAGGUUAGACCAGUGCAUUUGUGCCAGUCUUUGCAACAGCUCUGUCUCCUCCUCAGGCUGCAUUUUUCCUUUGCCUUAAGAGGAAAGCAAAGGAUCAGGGAGCCUUAGGGAAUGUGGCAGAGAGCCCUGCUGGAGGCAGGAAUGACACAGGGAGCACCAGGAGGUGCAGCUCCAGAGGGAAGUCUUGGAAAGAAGGCAAUGGAUUUACGGCUCAGUUCGGGUUGGUUGUCCUUUUGCAGAACGUCUCAGGUAGCCCCGGCCCAAGUGGGAGUAAAUAGUCCUGCAGGGAAGGGCUAAGGCACCGUCAGGAUGAACAUGGGAGAUUUCACCACCCUCCUAAAAAUUCUCAUCUUUGUGGCCAGGCAC